AUUGAACGCUGGCGGCGUGCCUAACACAUGCAAGUCGAGCGGUAACAGGUGUAGCAAUACAUGCUGACGAGCGGCGAACGGGUGAGUAAUGCUUCGGAAUCUACCCAAUGGUGGGGAAUAACCAGCCGAAAGGUUGGCUAAUACCGCAUACGUCCCACGGGAGAAAGCAGGGGAUCGCAAGACCUUGCGCCAAUGGAUGAGCCGAAGUCGGAUUAGCUAGUUGGAGGGUAACGGCCUACCAAGGCGACGAUCCGUAGCUGGUCUGAGAGGACGACCAGCCACACUGGGACUGAGACAC
RNAcentral lists this ribosomal RNA (298 nucleotides) under uncultured bacterium. Its description in RNAcentral is "partial 16S ribosomal RNA". It matches the Rfam family "Bacterial small subunit ribosomal RNA", at positions 30 to 327 of the family's 1533-position model. The record is from RNAcentral.